Molecule: ribosomal RNA, 269 nt
Filed under: uncultured Sphingomonas sp.
Lineage: Bacteria; Pseudomonadati; Pseudomonadota; Alphaproteobacteria; Sphingomonadales; Sphingomonadaceae
Description: partial 16S ribosomal RNA
Rfam family: Bacterial small subunit ribosomal RNA
Source: RNAcentral
UGCGUAACGCCGUGGGAAUCUGCCCUUGGGUUCGGAAUAACAGUUAGAAAUGACUGCUAAUACCGGAUGAUGUCUUCGGACCAAAGAUUUAUCGCCCAGGGAUGAGCCCGCGUAGGAUUAGGUAGUUGGUGGGGUAAUGGCCCACCAAGCCGACGAUCCUUAGCUGGUCUGAGAGGAUGAUCAGCCACACUGGGACUGAGACACGGCCCAGACUCCUACGGGAGGCAGCAGUGGGGAAUAUGGACAAUGGGCGCAAGCCUGAUCCAGCA